ACUCUACCCGUACCGCAAACCGACACAGGUAGUCGAGGCGAGUAGCCUCAGGUGAUCGAGAGAACUCUCGUUAAGGAACUCGGCAAAAUGACCCCGUAACUUCGGGAGAAGGGGUGCUGACUUAGGUCAGCCGCAGUGAAUAGGCCCAAGCAACUGUUUAUCAAAAACACAGCUCUCUGCUAAAUCGUAAGAUGAUGUAUAGGGGGUGACGCCUGCCCGGUGCUGGUAGGGUAAGAGGCGGGAUUAGCGCAAGCGAAGAUCUGAAUCGUAUCCCCAGUAAACGGCGGCCGAAACUAUAAAGGUACUAAGGAAGCGGAAUUCCUUGACGGGUAAGUUCCGACCCGCACGAAAGGCGUAAUGAUUUGGGCUCUGUCUCAACGAGAGACUCGGUGAAAUUUUAGUACCUGUGAAGAUGCAGUUUACCCGCGACAGGAUGGAAAGACCCCAUGGAGCGUUACUGCAGUUUGAUAUUGAGUAUCUGUACCACAUGCACAGGAUAGGUAGGAGCCAUUGACUUCGGGACGCCAGUUUCGAAUGAGGCGUUUUUGGGAUACUCCCCUUGGUUGAUUGCUUCUCUAACCCAGAUAGGUUAUCCAUAUCGAAGACAGUUUCUGACUGCCAGUUAGUCUGGUGCCGUCGCCGCCUAAAGAGUAACGGAAGCGACCAAUGGUUCCCUCAGAUUGGUUGGAAAUCAAUCGCAGAGUGUAAAGGUAUAAGGGAGCUUGACUGCGAGAGCUAYAACUCGAGCAGGGACGAAAGUCGGGCUUAGUGAUCCGGUGGUACCGAAUGGAAGGGCCAUCGCUCAACGGAUAAAAGCUACCCUGGGGAUAACAGGCUUAUCUCCCCCAAGAGUUCACAUCGACGGGGAGGUUUGGCACCUCGAUGUCGGCUCGUCGCRUCCUGGGGCUGUAGUCGGUCCCAAGGGUUGGGCUGUUCGCCCAUUAAAGCGGCACGCGAGCUGGGUUCAGAACGGCGUGAGACAGUUCGGUCCCUAUCCGUCGCGGGCGUAGGAAAUUUGAGAGGA
RNAcentral lists this ribosomal RNA (1024 nucleotides) under Streptococcus pyogenes serotype M18. RNAcentral describes it as "bacterial LSU rRNA". The record is from RNAcentral. Lineage: Bacteria; Bacillati; Bacillota; Bacilli; Lactobacillales; Streptococcaceae.